GUGUAUCCAUGGCGUUCAUCUCCUUCAGUAGCACCAACAGUCGACGGCUCCCAACUCUCACCUCUACUUCACAAGGUAUCUCUCUCUCGAUAGACCCAAGAUAUAUCUACGUAUAUACAUAUUUUUGUUUUGGGGUUUUGAUUUCAACAGUGUGGCUACCAAAACCGUAGAUAUCAAUUAUGAUGGAGGAUUGAAAUUAAGUCCUCCUGUUCGCUAAAUCAAUCACGAUUUGAAUUAGGAAGGUGUCGUUGGAAAAGUUAAUGGUGAUUAUUUUGUGGUGGUGCCAUGGUUAUAAACUUGUAAGCUUUCUUAAACUGUAGAAUUAUAUGCUUCAUGCCUUCAAAGUUCUUUUAGUACUUGUUUCCGGAGAGAGUACGUGGUCACUAAAACUUGUCAAACACGGUUGUGCAACUGUACGAGGGACUCAAUUUCUUGUGUUACUAUAGUGGAGGAAAAAUAAGAUAUAUAGUCACGUCGUCUUUCAUGGGCAAAUGGCGUUGAACUCUAGUCAUUAGUUUGGUUUUAUUCUUAAGUAACAGCUACAAGCAUUCUCAUUUUUCUUUGGCUAUUAGUAAUUAUUCUUCUAUAUUUGUUGUAAGUAGCUGGUGAUGUUCUAUUCGUCCCAUGUAUAUGCAACCAAUUGCAAGGUCAUUGGGAAACUUCAUGCAGGUAUGGUCUAAAUGUUUGAAGGACCAAACAAACUAGUAUUUGGUUGUGCAAUUUAGGCUCAUAUAUUGUGUAUGUACUCCUUUUGAGCAUGUCAACAUAUUUGGGCAUGACCCUAUCUAAGUCUUGAUUGUAUUCUCUUUUCAGAUAAUCUAGUGAAGGAUUGGGCUUUUGCUAAGCCAUUGGGUUUGUCUUUUUUAUGUUUGCCUUUUCUUGCUGAUCUAUUAGUGAUUGAGGUUUGAGUAGCAAGAAAUGAGAAUUUAAGCAACUUGUCAUAUCUGUUACUCGAUUUGACAAGUAUAUGUUUUGAUCACCAAUUUUUGCAAGUAUAUGUUCUUCUUUCCAAUGCUCUUUCAGCCUCAUUAAUCCUUGUUUUUCAAAAAAUGGAUGAACUUUGGAGAGCCUCAAAGUUAAAAUUAGGUUUAAAAAAAAUGUUAAGGAAAAGACAAGUGAAAGCUGAAUUGCAGAUUGGAGACAAAGAGCAAAAGAAGGUGCCGAUCCUCUUCCAUAUCCUAAGCCAAUUAAUUGCUUAGGAUGACCGAUUGAAACCCAAUGAUAGAUAUAAAGCUCGGCGAGCGGAUCCAUAAGACGAUAAUGUUGAUGUGCCUCUUGCUUGAAAUAAUGGUAGUGUAAGUCUCAAACUCUACAGUAACCAGAAGGUCUAACUUCCAUUAUACUCUUACUAGUUGAUAUUUGUCUUGAGAUUUUGUAUAGUAUGCAUUCUUAUACAUUAUACAUGAGUGAUAGAACUUUUGAUACUAAAGUUAUCUCAUAUCUUGUUGCAAGUAAAAAAUUACUCAUGAACUUUUAAAGGUGUGAGGGUGACUGAUUUUUUUUUAUUACGGGUUGCUUGUUAUAUAAUUUUUUUUAUUUAAAUAGUUAGAGAUAAUCUGUAAUGUGUGAUUGAAGUUUUUGAUUGUGAUUGUUCCAUCGAAAUGAAGAGAAUACGGGAGUUACAAAUUGCGUUUAGUCCAAAUAGGAUGGGGACGUGGGGGUGAGGAAAGGAGAAUUGGGCGAUGUCCAUGUAGUCUUAGUCAAGGAUUAUGAUGUGUCUCCAAUUGUUGUUGAUUCUUCUUAGAUGUGGUAGAUUGUGAAUUAUGAAUGCUCUUUUCAACUCCAAUAUUUGGAGGGUUAAGAGUUGAUCUCUGCUUGAUGGGUAUAGUUGUGGCUUGGCUGUUAUUAUUGAGAUUCAUCUACCGUGGUUAAGGGUAUUGAUAGGAGGCUGCGCAAAUUUUCCUAUUUUUAUAGAUUCGAGUUAUCCACUGUCACAUUUGUUCUCAACUCCUAAGAUUGGGAGGGUUUGAAGGAUUGGAGAUGCUAUGUAUUUCUGCUGGAUUUCUAAGGCUGAUGGAAUAUUGAUAUCUGUCAUUUUUGCUUUAAGCGGUGACUAAUCAAUGCUACAAGCCGGCUUGUGUUCUGAGUUAGGACCUGAGGAAGUGGUGAUCAUAGUUAUUUAGGAUUUAUCCGGGUUUUCUAGAUUGGUUCUUUGGGUCAUUGUAUCCUUGGGCUCAUUCAAUCUUCAUUGAAUGUAAUCUUUUUCUUUU
This is a long non-coding RNA of Rhododendron vialii, 2210 nucleotides long. RefSeq lists it as uncharacterized. The record is from RefSeq and is a predicted model, not a curated record. The transcript is spliced from 3 exons. Lineage: Eukaryota; Viridiplantae; Streptophyta; Magnoliopsida; Ericales; Ericaceae.